GCACAAGCGGUGGAGCAUGUGGUUUAAUUCGACGUAACGCGAAGAACCUUUACCAGGUCUUGACAUCCCGAUGCUAUUUCUAGAGAUAGAAAGGUUACUUCGGUACAUCGGUGACAGGUGGUGCAUGGUUGUCGUCAGCUCGUGUCGUGAGAUGUUGGGUUAAGUCCCGCAACGAGCGCAACCCCUAUUGUUAGUUGCCAUCAUUCAGUUGGGCACUCUAGCGAGACUGCCGGUAAUAAACCGGAGGAAGUGGGAUGACGUCAAAUCAUCAUGCCCCUUAUGACCUGGGCUACACACGUGCUACAAUGGUUGGUACAACGAGUUGCGAGUCGGUGACGGCGAGCUAAUCUCUUAAAGCCAAUCUCAGUUCGGAUUGUAGGCUGCAACUCGCCUACAUGAAGUCGGAAUCGCUAGUAAUCGCGGAUCAGCACGCCGCGGUGAAUACGUUCCCGGGCCUU
Molecule: ribosomal RNA, 458 nt
Filed under: uncultured Streptococcus sp.
Lineage: Bacteria; Bacillati; Bacillota; Bacilli; Lactobacillales; Streptococcaceae
Description: bacterial SSU rRNA
Rfam family: Bacterial small subunit ribosomal RNA
Source: RNAcentral